CUGGAGGAGACAGGCUAUGACACAUACGUCCACGAUGCUUAUGGCCUGUUCCAGGAGUGCAGCUCCCGCGUCGCCUCCUGGGGCUGGCCUCUGACCCCCACACCUUUGGACCCCCAUGAGCCCGAGCGACCUUUCUUCGAGGGCCACUUCCUCCGAGUGCUGUUUGACCGCAUGUCCCGGAUUCUGGAUCAGGUAGCUAGUGGGCCUGGGCCAGGAGAACUCCAGGCUGGUGCCUCUGGGGUCCUUCAAGAGCAGAGGUUGGCCACAGGGUUGCCUCUGCUUCGGUUCUUUGGUGCCACCCCUGUCCUUUCCCCAGGUGGGAAGCCCCGUCUCACCCCUGCUCCACACGUCCUAACACGUUCUGGCCCUCAGCCCCAUGGAAUCCAUGACACACACACACAUCACGUGAGCCUCCCACCCCCACACACGUUCACAGUGGCCAGGCACCUUGCUGGGGGAGUGCAAAAAUGCUCACCAGCCCUGCCAGCCCUCGGCUCUGUCCACCAUGUUCCUACAGCCAUACAGCCUGAACCUGCAGGUGACCUCGGUCCUGUCCCGGCUUGCCCUCUUCCCCCACCCCCAUAUUCAUGAGUACCUGCUGGAUCCGUACAUCAGCCUGGCCCCCGGCUGCAGGAGCCUAUUCUCCGUGUUGGUGAGGGUGAUCGGGGACUUGAUGCAGAGAAUCCAGAGGGUACCCCAGUUCCCAGGCAAGCUGCUCCUGGUGCGCAAGCAGUUGACGGGCCAGGCUCCUGGGGAGCAGCUGGACCACCAGACCCUCCUCCAGGGCGUGGUGGUGCUGGAGGAGUUCUGCAAGGAGCUGGCUGCCAUUGCCUUCGUCAAGUUUCCCCCACAUGAUCCUCGCCAGAACGUCUCCCCAGCCCCGGAAGGGCAGGUCUGAGCCAGGACCAGGGCGGUGGGAGACUCCUGUCCACACCUCUGCCCCAGAGCUGCCUCCUGCCUGGCACUGCCGCCACACUCCCCUCCUGGGAUGGGGCUUCUGCUCCCGGGCUCACUCAAGGAGACUGCGGCAUGUUGACCACACCAGACUGGGUUUCAGGGAAUGGGCAUGCCAGGUGCCAAGGAGCCAAACAGAUGGCUUUCCAGGCAGCAAGGUCCUUGGGGCCUUCUUGGAGGAGCUUGGGUGACAGCCAGGUGAGCACCCAGACCCCAGACCCUCAUGUGCUGUGUGCCUGGCCCCUUCUGUACUGGCCAUUUGUGGCCAGGGCCAAGCCUGUGACUCAACUCCAGGGUCAAGAUGGGGAGUGAGCUGAUGGCUCCGAGACUGGUCAGGAGCCCAGGCCAGUGAGAUGGGGCCUGGAGCCUUGUCUGUGUCACAUUAGGUACCAUGGGAGCUGCUGAGACCUGACAUUUUGUCCCCUGCCUACAUGGCUUGGCCCAUGGAGAAGGAGCAGUGAAUGGGAUCGUCGGGGAAGCCCCUCUUCCUGCUCUGCUCCCCUGGAAACUGUUGCAAAACUCCCAGCCGCCUCAUGGCAAAUGCCCAAAGCAUGUUCCGCACCCAGGCGGGGGCCGCUGCUAAUGAGAACCUUGGUGCAGCUGCAGCCAGGAGGGGAGCGGGCCCAGGAGCCAGGCUCAGGUCCAGGUGGUUCCUCUCUGGCGCCUUCUGAACCCGUCUCAGCAGGUCCACGGCACCUGGGCAGAGGUCAGAGACCAGGGGAGGCCGGGCCUUGCCCUCCCUUCUGCCCAGGGCCCAGUGUUCUUGAUAGAAGACCCUUCUGGGGAGCCAGGGAGGUCAGGGGACAGAUAAGGGCAGGACGCCCCCUGACUCCAGGCCCCUGAGCCUGGCGGGAAGUGGCUGCGGCCCAGGCAGCCAUUCCUGGUGGUGUUCUCCCUGCAUGCCCUCCGUGGCUGGGCUGCCACCCCACCCGGCCCGAAUCUGUCUUGACCUGCAGGAAUACACGGGCGGCGCCAGGCAUUACCUCACAGCGGGACUACACAGUUGCUGGCUUUGCUCCUGGGCAAGGAGGAGCAGGCCAGAGCCUCUUUUGCUUCCUUUUCUUGCCCAUGCCGCUUCUAGAAGCCAGGCACAGGUUGCCAAGAGGUGACACGAAACAGGAGGAAACUCAGUGACCUCUGCCUCUCCCACAUUCCUCCCCGCGGGGGAGGACCUCGCCACUCUGAAGAGCACCGUGCACAUGUGGGUGCACAAACGUGGGUGUUGGUGUGGACGGGGCGCAGAUCUCUGUGGAUGAACUGCGUCUGGACUCUUAAGAUUCAUAAAAUAUUCGAGGGUUUGGGAGUCACAGACCCUCCCCUGUCCUCAGUGCACUUUGGCGUUUGCACGGUGUCUUCCCCGGACAGCACAGCAAUAAAUGGUGUGAUUGCGUGG
Molecule: small RNA, 2347 nt
Filed under: Pan troglodytes (chimpanzee)
Lineage: Eukaryota; Metazoa; Chordata; Mammalia; Primates; Hominidae
Description: retained intron
Source: RNAcentral